RNAcentral lists this ribosomal RNA (249 nucleotides) under uncultured bacterium. RNAcentral describes it as "partial 16S ribosomal RNA". It matches the Rfam family "Bacterial small subunit ribosomal RNA", at positions 355 to 594 of the family's 1533-position model. The record is from RNAcentral.
UAGGGAAUCUUCCACAAUGGACGCAAGUCUGAUGGAGCAACGCCGCGUGAGUGAAGAAGGUUUUCGGACCGUAAAGCUCUGUUGUUGGUGAAGAAGGAUAGAGGUAGUAACUGGCCUUUAUUUGACGGUAAUCAACCAGAAAGUCACGGCUAACUACGUGCCAGCAGCCGCGGUAAUACGUAGGUGGCAAGCGUUGUCCGGAUUUAUUGGGCGUAAAGCGAGCGCAGGCGGAAAGAAUAAAGUCUGAUG